UACGUAGGCAGCGAGCGUUGUUCGGAAUUACUGGGCGUAAAGAGUGUGUAGGCGGUGUUCCCAGUCUGUUGUGAAAUCUCCCGGCUUAACUGGGAGGGUGCAGCGGAAACUAGAAUGCUAGAGGGUGGGAGAGGUAAGCGGAAUUCCUGGUGUAGCGGUGAAAUGCGUAGAUAUCAGGAGGAACACCGGUGGCGAAGGCGGAUCUCUGGGCCAUUACUGACGCUGAGGAGCGAAAGCGUGGGGAGCAAACAGG
RNAcentral lists this ribosomal RNA (253 nucleotides) under uncultured bacterium. Its description in RNAcentral is "partial 16S ribosomal RNA". It matches the Rfam family "Bacterial small subunit ribosomal RNA", at positions 524 to 776 of the family's 1533-position model. The record is from RNAcentral.